This 844-nucleotide long non-coding RNA is filed under the name Homo sapiens (human). RNAcentral's name for it is "non-protein coding lnc-SMIM14-1:1". The record is from RNAcentral. Lineage: Eukaryota; Metazoa; Chordata; Mammalia; Primates; Hominidae.
GGCACCUAGGACAGGGACGUGAGUGAAGGUCUGCUGGAGCAGAGAAACUGACACUGACAAGAAGAACGAGAAUGAGAAACCCUGCGACGAGUCUGCUGACAGCUAAUAUAAGUCUGCAAAAUCAGCUGGACCACCAAACGGCAAUUGAGAGCUGCACAACCUGCAAUUACCUUUAUUCAAUUAAUGCAAAAACAAAAAUGGGGAGAUGUUACAGGCCGAAAGAAUGAAGGUCGUGACCAACUCAGUAUACCACUGAAGGCUAUAUGAGCAAACAGAAAACUGUUCUCAUGAAAGCAGGAUGUUGGAAAACUAACAACUGUGUCUGCCGCCAGAAGGGUUGCUGAGGGCAGUCAUGCCCCAAGCGCAGUGUUCCUUGUGAUUAUCUAUAGUAACAUCUGAAGCCUGUUGUACAAAGGAAGCAAUUAUGUGUACCUGUGAUAAAUCAAGCAGCUGACCAACUGUUACCUCUCCCUCCCUGCUCUUUCUACCUAAUAAAUAUGAAGGGCUGUAGAAGCUCAGGGCCCUUGCCCACUAGAAGCAAGGAGUCCCCUGACCCCUUCUUCCAAAAAUACUCUUUUUGUCUUUGUCUUCAUUUCUGCAUUCGUCCCCCUUCGUUCACUCCCAUAGCAACCAACAGCAACAUGAGCCACCAUCACACCCGGCAACAUUUUCUUAAAAAUUACAUUUUACUUUGCUUUGUCUCACAUUACACUUAUGUCAACAUCUUCUCAUCUUUCCAAAGAGUUUCACUAGUAACUGCCUGUUGAAAGCUGGCAGUCUCAAACUUCAAGCAUGAUUCUGUAAGCCAAAGCUGAAUUAGAAAAUACAAAGCUUAAGAAAAUCU